Triticum aestivum (bread wheat) is the source of this 125-nucleotide non-coding RNA. The record is from Rfam. Lineage: Eukaryota; Viridiplantae; Streptophyta; Magnoliopsida; Poales; Poaceae.
AUAGUACUCUCUUCUUCCCAAAAUUCUUGUCUUAGAUUUGUCUAAAUACGGAUGUAUCAAGUAAUAUUAGAUACAUCCGUAUUUAGACAAAUCUAAGACAAGAAUUUUGGGACGGAGGGUACAAC